RNAcentral lists this unclassified non-coding RNA (230 nucleotides) under uncultured Agaricales. RNAcentral's name for it is "sequence contains ITS1". Lineage: Eukaryota; Fungi; Basidiomycota; Agaricomycetes; Agaricales. The record is from RNAcentral.
UUGAAUACGCUUGAGUGCUGAUGCUGGCCUUCGGGCAUGUGCUCGCAUUCAAACUUAUUUAUCUUCACUUGUGCACCUUUUGUAGUCUCUGAGGUUUAUUUUCCGCUGCAAAUGCGGGUUUGGGGGCUUGAGCGCAGGCCCCUGGGGCUUCAGAGAACUAUGUCUUCAUAUACUCUAUUAAAGUUACAGAACGUCUAUUUAACGGCCUUCACUGGUCAUUAAACCUUAUA